GAUGAACGCUGACAGAAUGCUUAACACAUGCAAGUCUACUUGAAUUUGGGUCCUAGACUUAGAUUUGGGUGGCGGACGGGUGAGUAACGCGUAAAGAACUUGCCUCACAGUUAGGGACAACAUUUGGAAACGAAUGCUAAUACCUGAUAUUAUGAUUAUACGGCAUCGUAUAAUUAUGAAAGCUAUAUGCGCUGUGAGAGAGCUUUGCGUCCCAUUAGCUAGUUGGAGAGGUAACGGCUCACCAAGGCGAUGAUGGGUAGCCGGCCUGAGAGGGUGAACGGCCACAAGGGGACUGAGACACGGCCUUUACUCCUACGGGAGGCAGCAGUGGGGAAUAUUGGACAAUGGACCAAGAGUCUGAUCCAGCAAUUCUGUGUGCACGAUGACGUUUUUCGGAAUGUAAAGUGCUUUCAGUUGGGAAGAAAGAAAUGACGGUACCAACAGAAGAA
Molecule: ribosomal RNA, 449 nt
Filed under: Fusobacterium sp. oral taxon 370
Lineage: Bacteria; Fusobacteriati; Fusobacteriota; Fusobacteriia; Fusobacteriales; Fusobacteriaceae
Description: bacterial SSU rRNA
Rfam family: Bacterial small subunit ribosomal RNA
Source: RNAcentral